Molecule: long non-coding RNA, 1665 nt
Organism: Cyanistes caeruleus (blue tit)
Lineage: Eukaryota; Metazoa; Chordata; Aves; Passeriformes; Paridae
Source: Ensembl
UAUCUCAGGGCUCUGACAGCUGUGUGGAUAUGAAUGAAACCUGUGUGACUAGACCUGGUUUUGCUUCCAAUUGGCUGCCUCGCCCUCUUGAGAGGGAGAACAAUUAAUUGGCUUACUGAAGUCCAUAAAGCAUGUCAUGCAGAUACUGAGGUAACACAGUCAAAAUAGCAUCGAUGAUUCUUGCAGCUUGAUGAGACAGACUUCCCUUGAAUUGCUGCAAAGUUUAGGACUCUCACCUGUUCUCAAGAGAAUCAUCACUUAAGAGAUUUCCCAGCACUCUAACUGCACAUCUUGAUGGUCGGCGUAUUGCAGCUGAGAAUACUCUGGCGAUUGCGUAGAUGUGAGCUCCCCUGUGCAACACUAACCCAGUCCUUGCCUGUCUCACAGGGAGAAGGGGUGCUGCUUUCACCAGUUAUUUCUGGACAUAUGAAUGCUGAAAAAUUGCUUCUGCAAGACCAGAAUUGCUUUUCACCUAUUAAGAAGCAAGAAUUGGUCUCACGAACUAUAAAGACAAUAUUAAAUUGGACUUUUCUUUGCUAUGCAGCAAAGGAGAAUUUUCCAUUCAAAAAAAGUGUGGAGGAUAGGCCAAUGUUUCUAAAUCACACAUAAUUAAGUAAAAUGGCCUGCAAAAUUGUGAGUUUUAUAUGACUUUUACUUGGAAUUUUAUACCUUCAGGGGGCAGAAAGGGGUGCAGAAAAGCAGCACUGGUAUAAACAUGACUGAGAAUAGCCUGUAGCAUAAUAGAUAGACCACACUAUUGUUGCAUAAAACAAAAUUUUCAGCAAAAUACCCCUGCUCUGCAAGAAAUUCUGUUCCUAUCAGGGGAGGAUAGUGGAAGAGCUCAGAAAAGUGGCUGACAAAGAUGUAACAGGUGGAUUUUUCUCAACAGAGGGUUAACUUCACUCUUUCCUGUGCAAACCUGAGCUCUGAAUUGCUCUGAAGUUCUGCUGUCACUUGUGCCUCGCUGUUCUGAUCAUUUAACCCAAAGGCCUGCAAGGCACCCCCGGCCAAGGCACGAAGAAACAUCCCUCCCCUCUGGAUGACGAAGGUGUCCUGGCAGAUUGGCAGAGCACCGCUUGUGGCAGGUGAUAUGUGUGUUAACAAUGGAUUACAAAGCCAAGGCACUGUGCUUUCUUACACAGAGAAAUUGCAAGAAAACGAUCAGUCAGGUCUGCUGAGGGAAUCUGAAAGAGAUGAAACCCAAGUACCUUCAAAAACUCCUUUUCUUUAGGCUCUGCAUGCAAGUGCACAUUGUACGGCCUCCAUGGAUAAACGAUGCUGGUUAAAAGCAAGGAAAGAAGAUCCUUCUAAAGUGACAUUAUUACAGAUGGCCACUGUGGGAAAGGGAUUCAUUUGCCAUCCCUUAUAAAUACAGUGGCUACACUUUACACAUCACAAGGCUUUUCUUACAUGCCCCAAAGGGUUGUGUAAUUCUAACAAAAGCUUCUGUUGCUCUGGCCCAGGAUAGUUGGGAUUUGAAGAAGUUUUUACAAGGUCUUGUCUGGUUAAAAUACAUUUUAUUAAAAGCUCAAGUCUGCUACUGCUUGCUAUGCUGAGAGAUGUUGUGGGCAGUGAGGAGAAAGGAAAAUUAGGCAAUGGAAAUUUGAUAGGUUGACAGACUUGAUUGAAAAUAAAAAUGCAUUAGGCCUUUCUUUUAGUCCUCUC